Molecule: unclassified non-coding RNA, 217 nt
Filed under: plant metagenome
Description: partial contains small subunit ribosomal RNA, internal transcribed spacer 1, and 5.8S ribosomal RNA
Source: RNAcentral
UCUCCGUAGGUGAACCUGCGGAGGGAUCAUUACAAGUGACCCCGGUCUUACCACCGGGAUGUUCAUAACCCUUUGUUGUCCGACUCUGUCGCCUCCGGGGCGACCCUGCCUUCGGGCGGGGGCUCCGGGUGGACACUUCAAACUCUUGCGUAACUUUGCAGUCUGAGUAAACUUAAUUAAUAAAUUAAAACUUUUAACAACGGAUCUCUUGGUUCUG